Molecule: ribosomal RNA, 262 nt
Filed under: uncultured archaeon
Lineage: Archaea
Description: partial 16S ribosomal RNA
Rfam family: Archaeal small subunit ribosomal RNA
Source: RNAcentral
ACACGACUACAUUAGAUACCCGGUAGUCCUGGCGUAACGAUGUGGACUUGGUGUUGGAAUGGCUCCGAGCUGCUCCAGUGCCGUAGGGAAGCCGUGAAGCGAGCCACCUGGGAAGUACGGCCGCAAGGCUGAAACUUAAAGGAAUUGGCGGGGGAGCACAACAACGGGUGGAGCUUGCGGUUUAAUUGGAUUCAACGCCGGAAAUCUUACCGGGACCGACAGCAACAUGAAGGCCAAGCUGAAGACUUCGCCGGAUUAGCUG